RNAcentral lists this ribosomal RNA (499 nucleotides) under uncultured bacterium. RNAcentral describes it as "partial 16S ribosomal RNA". It matches the Rfam family "Bacterial small subunit ribosomal RNA", at positions 28 to 507 of the family's 1533-position model. The record is from RNAcentral.
GACGAACGCUGGCGGCGUGCCUAAUACAUGCAAGUCGAGCGAAGUUUUUCUGGUGCUUGCACCGGAAAAACUUAGCGGCGAACGGGUGAGUAACACGUAAAGAACCUGCCUCAUAGACUGGGACAACUAUUGGAAACGAUAGCUAAUACCGGAUAACAGCAUUAACUGCAUGGUUGAUGUUUAAAAGUUGGCUUUGCUAACACUAUGAGAUGGCUUUGCGGUGCAUUAGCUAGUUGGUGGGGUAAAGGCCUACCAAGGCGACGAUGCAUAGCCGACCUGAGAGGGUGAUCGGCCACACUGGGACUGAGACACGGCCCAGACUCCUACGGGAGGCAGCAGUAGGGAAUCUUCCGCAAUGGGCGAAAGCCUGACGGAGCAACGCCGCGUGAGUGAAGAAGGAUUUCGGUUCGUAAAGCUCUGUUGUUAGGGAAGAAUGAUUGUGUAGUAACUAUACACAGUAGAGACGGUACCUAACCAGAAAGCCACGGCUAACUACGUG